RNAcentral lists this ribosomal RNA (463 nucleotides) under uncultured bacterium. RNAcentral's name for it is "bacterial SSU rRNA". It matches the Rfam family "Bacterial small subunit ribosomal RNA", at positions 331 to 792 of the family's 1533-position model. The record is from RNAcentral.
CCAGACUCCUACGGGAGGCAGCAGUGAGGAAUAUUGGUCAAUGGGCGCGAGCCUGAACCAGCCAAGUCGCGUGAGGGAAGACGGUCCUAUGGAUUGUAAACCUCUUUUGUCGGGGAGCAAAAGACGCCACGCGUGGCGUUCCGAGAGUACCCGAAGAAAAAGCAUCGGCUAACUCCGUGCCAGCAGCCGCGGUAAUACGGAGGAUGCGAGCGUUAUCCGGAUUUAUUGGGUUUAAAGGGUGCGUAGGCGGAAUAUCAAGUCAGCGGUAAAAAUUCGGGGCUCAACCCCGUCGUGCCGUUGAAACUGAUGUUCUUGAGUGGGCGAGAAGUAUGCGGAAUGCGUGGUGUAGCGGUGAAAUGCAUAGAUAUCACGCAGAACUCCGAUUGCGAAGGCAGCAUACCGGCGCCCAACUGACGCUGAAGCACGAAAGCGUGGGUAUCGAACAGGAUUAGAUACCCGAGUA